GGAAAGGCUUCAUGUUCCAGGUGAGAGGCAUUGUAGAAUACCAGAUGGAGAAUUAGAAGACCCAAUUUGAAUUCCCUCAAUCACUAACUAACUGUGAUUCUGGGGAAUUAUAGGGCUCAGUAUACUCAUAUGUCAAUGGGAUCAAUAGUACACAGCUGUCUUUAGGGUCAAGAGUAUUAAUGUAUCUGAAGCAGGGUACUUUCUGCAAUUCAGGCUAGUUCUAUGAGAAAUAGGGAUAAAGGACAGAAGAGAGAGAGAGAUCCUGGGCAAACUCCAGGCAGAGGUGCACACAGCCUGCUCACAGACAGGCCUCUCACAUUCCAGCUUCCACAUAUGCACAGAAAGCUGUGAGCUCUAUUCUACACAUCUGCGUAGAUAGUAACUGCCAAGAUAAUUGGUUUUAAAGUCUGUUCCUUAUCUUUUCCCCUGGCAUGCAGGAGCUGUGUGCCUAUGCACACAGAAGAGCAGUGGACAGAGAUAGCAAGACACCACCAUGGUCCGGGAUCAGCUGCUGGCCAAAAUGAGGGGCUACUUUCGGAUCCACAGCCUCCUGGCCCGACAGUGCUUGGCAGAGUUUCUGGGUGUAUUUGUGCUCAUGGUAGGCAGUAACUGUGGGGAAGAAAGGAGGGAGGUAGACCAAUAUUUCUGGCUCUUCCUAUACUUCCUUUUAACUCUCAAUCUCUUCUCUUUCCCUCUUGUUUCUCCUCUUCCUUCUUCUCCUUCUCCUUAUUUUUAAAUUUUUGUUGUUUUAUACUAGGGAUUGAACCAGGGCACUUUACUGCUUACCUACAGAGUUUCUGAUAACUUUCUGAGGGCUCACCAAGUUGCUGAGGCUGGCUUCAAACUUGCAAUCCUCUUGCCUCAACCUCCCAAGUCAUUAGAACUAUAGGCACGCUCAAGGACACUCAGCUUGCUUCUUCUAUUAGAUGCCUUCUCUCCCUUUUUCCUUCUCCUCCACUUCUUCCAUUUCUUUAUCUCUUUCCUGUUUCUGCUUUUCUCCUUUCCCUGCUGGUCCCUUGGUUGCUCCCAAUCUCUCUCCUGUUGGUCUCCUGGACUUCCUUUUCCUCACCUUUCUCUCCCUGUCAGCUUCUCACUCAGGGGGCUGUGGCCCAGGCUGUCACCAGUGGAGAAACCAAAGGGAACUUCUUCACCAUGUUUCUGGCUGGUUCUCUGGCAGUUACAAUAGCCAUCUACGUGGCAGGCAAUGUCUCAGGUGAGCAGGGUGGGGUCUGGUCAUCGGAAGGGGUGGGACGUGUAUGUGGCAGUGGGUGUCUGCAAUGGUAAAAAGGCAGGUCCUUUGGUGACUCAUGAAUAUUAUCUUCUAAGCUUGACCAGUGCCCUAGACUGAGAUAUGUCUUCAGCCUUACCCAGUCCCUCCCCUUCCUAUCUCUCUCCAUUCCCCUUCCUCACACUAAUGGAUCAGUUGGCUUACCUUGGCAGAAAUCUAUGCCAGGGCAAUGACGGUAAGUACUGUUCUCUGACGCCUCACACCUGAAGCUCUCUGGUGUCAACUCCACUCAGGACCUUGCGCUUGUCCCUCAGAUACACGCUGCAUCAGUGUGCUGAAGUGGAAAGGGCAGAGAGAUGCAGGUUCAAAUCUUGGCUUCAUUGUGUGACCUUGAGGAGUCACUUAAACUCUUUGAGCCUUAAUUCCUUAAGAUGAAGCAUGAAGAUCAUGAGCUCAAAGCCAGCCUCAGCAAAAGUGAGGCCCUAAGCAAUGAGACCCCAUCUCUAAAUAAAAUACAAAAAAUAGGUUUGGGGAAGUGGCUCAGUGGUCAAGUGCCCCUGAGUUCAAUCCCUGAUACCAAAAAAAAAAAAAAAAAAAAGAAAAAAAUAUAUAUACACACCCAUAUAUGAUGAAAAUGAUACAAUUUAUCCUAAGAGUUGUAGGAAGGAGAGGCCUUGUUGCUGGUGACAGUGUUUGGAUGCUCAUUUUCUUCCUCUGUCCCUGAAGGAGCUCACCUGAAUCCAGCCUACUCCCUAGCCAUGUGCCUCCUGGGACGCUUCCCCUGGUCCAAGCUCCCCAUCUACUGCUUCGUGCAGCUGCUGUCUGCCUUCUGUGCCUCUGGAGCCACCUAUGUUCUCUACUAUGGUAACAGAGGGGACAGUGUUGGAGCACCUGUAUGUGCGGAGGGGUGCCUCAGGGCAGUUUGCCGUAAGUAAAGAUGGCAACCCUGGGUUUUCCUCUCUCCCAAAGAUGCUCUACAGAACUAUACAGGGGGGAACCUGACAGUGACUGGCCCCAAGGAGACUGCCUCCAUCUUUGCCACCUAUCCUGCCCCUUAUUUGUCCCUGAACAAUGGCUUCCUGGAUCAGGUAGGUGAGAGGAGCAGAACUGGAAAAGUUUAACCUUUUCCCUUCACUUGGGACCCCAGCCAAUUGUUCUGGGUGGAAUAUGGAGCUAGUUCUACUUUGGUACCCCACCAGCCCCCAGCUGCUUGUGUUGAACAAAGCGAGGUGACAUGGGGGUCAUAGUUUGGAGUGUUUGGGUGAGGGCAAAUGGAGCACCUGGCAACUAAUGACCAGGACCCCUCUGUCUGAAGGUUUUGGGCACUGGGAUCCUGAUUGUGGGGCUCUUGGCCAUCCUGGACGGACGCAACAAGGGAGUACCUGUGGGUCUGGAGCCCGUGGUGGUGGGGCUGCUGAUCCUAGUCAUCGGACUAUCCAUGGGUGUCAACUGUGGGUUCCCACUCAACCCUGCCAGAGAUCUGGGUCCACGGCUCUUCACCUACUUGGCUGGCUGGGGCCCUGAAGUCUUCAGGUGGGAGACAUCUUCCCUGGAUGCGGUCCUUAACUCACCUCUCUCUGCUAAUGGCUCUGUCCCUGGGUCCCUAGCUUUCUCCUCUUAAAUAGUUCUCUUGCCCUCUUAGGACAGCGUUCCUCACUCUCCCCUGUCCUUUCACUGAAACAGUUAAGAUUUAGAGGUUGUAUUCUGGGGAACGUCAUAUUAUUUCUUUGGGCAUUAGUGACCUACCUCAUCAGCAAAUGGGUAUAUUCAGAUAAUUCCCUAAGGCUAGAGGCUGGACUAAGUUCUUCUGGUGGUCUCUCCUCUCUCUUCUCGUGUCUUUCACUCCAGGAACUACUUUAGGGAGCUCCCUUGGUUACUGGCGCAGUCCUUGAGGAGAGGGGAGACUAAGGGAACCAUUCCUCAUGCGUCUCUUUUGUCCUUCUCUUGCAGUGCUGGCAAUGGCUGGUGGUGGGUGCCUGUGGUGGCCCCUUUGGUGGGGGCUACCCUUGGCACAGCCACAUACCAGCUGCUGGUGGCUCUGCACCACCCUGAAGACUCAGAGCAAGGUCAGAAAAAAGCCUCAGACUUGGAAACUCCUGCCUCGGUUCAGAUGCCCAGCCUCAAGGCCUCUAGGAACGCAGUUGCUAAAAGUAGCCACGAGGGGGUGUCCACGCUGGACGCUGGCUUGGGAGGGCUGCGGGAGUCUGCGGGGUGGAGGGCCGACGGGGGAACUUUCCUCUAGUCGGGGCCUGGCGGGGAACUUGCCUCCAAACCUGGGUCCCCUCUGCCCGACUUCCAGCUCUUGUAAGCCCAGCGUCGCGCGCCUUUGCCCCACAGGGGCGCUUCGCGGACGGUCAUUAGCGGCGGGGAAGCCGCUCCAUCCAGGGGGCGUGGUGGGGCGGCGGAGCACGGACCGUCCCUCGCCUGGUAGGCAGGGAGAGAAAGGCGAGAGACGAGGCACGACCUCUUCCAGGCUAACCCGAGGCUGUGUCGUUCUCGGAGAGCGAAAUGCCACGGGAGGAGCCCGGGCGAGGAGCCUGAGGCGGCCGGCUGCGGGGUGUGAGUCGGGGCCACGGGGAAGCUGGCGGCGAGGAGGAUUCGAGCUCGCCGCUUCUCCCGCCCUCUCGUCCCUCCGGGCCGAAGAUGCGCUUUUUGCAAAGAAGGCAGCAUUUCUCAUUCGCUUUCUUACGAAUUAAAAGGAAAAACCUCGCUACCUGGCUUCCCGGGUU
This 3957-nucleotide long non-coding RNA is filed under the name Marmota monax (woodchuck). The record is from RNAcentral. Lineage: Eukaryota; Metazoa; Chordata; Mammalia; Rodentia; Sciuridae.